RNAcentral lists this ribosomal RNA (463 nucleotides) under uncultured bacterium. RNAcentral's name for it is "bacterial SSU rRNA". It matches the Rfam family "Bacterial small subunit ribosomal RNA", at positions 55 to 511 of the family's 1533-position model. The record is from RNAcentral.
AUGCAAGUCGAGCGGUAACAGGUGUAGCAAUACAUGCUGACGAGCGGCGAACGGGUGAGUAAUGCUUCGGAAUCUGCCCAAUGGUGGGGAAUAACCAGCCGAAAGGUUGGCUAAUACCGCAUAAGUCCUACGGGGGAAAGCAGGGGAUCGCAAGACCUUGCGCCGAUGGAUGAGCCGAAGUCGGAUUAGCUAGUUGGUAGGGUAACGGCCUACCAAGGCGACGAUCCGUAGCUGGUCUGAGAGGACGACCAGCCACACUGGGACUGAGACACGGCCCAGACUCCUACGGGAGGCAGCAGUGGGGAAUAUUGGACAAUGGGGGAAACCCUGAUCCAGCGACGCCGCGUGUGUGAAGAAGGCCUGCGGGUUGUAAAGCACUUUUAGUGGGGAUGAAAAGCUCAGGGCUAAUACCUCUGGGUCUUGACCUAACCCAAAGAAAAAGCACCGGCUAACUCUGUGCCAG